RNAcentral lists this ribosomal RNA (301 nucleotides) under uncultured bacterium. RNAcentral describes it as "partial 16S ribosomal RNA". It matches the Rfam family "Bacterial small subunit ribosomal RNA", at positions 509 to 809 of the family's 1533-position model. The record is from RNAcentral.
CAGCCGCCGCGGGAAUACGAAGGGGGCUAGCGUUGUUCGGAUUUACUGGGCGUAAAGCGCACGUAGGCGGAUCGAUCAGUCAGGGGUGAAAUCCCAGAGCUCAACUCUGGAACUGCCUCUGAUACUGUCGAUCUGGAGUAUGGAAGAGGUGAGUGGAAUUCCGAGUGUAGAGGUGAAAUUCGUAGAUAUUCGGAGGAACACCAGUGGCGAAGGCGGCUCACUGGUCCAUUACUGACGCUGAGGUGCGAAAGCGUGGGGAGCAAACAGGAUUAGAUACCCCAGUAGUCCCUGUCUCUUAUAA